Molecule: long non-coding RNA, 194 nt
Organism: Amblyraja radiata (thorny skate)
Lineage: Eukaryota; Metazoa; Chordata; Chondrichthyes; Rajiformes; Rajidae
Exons: 2
Source: RefSeq, a predicted model, not a curated record
AAAACAAUGUUCGGUAACAGAUCACGCAAUUGUUUUUGAAUACACGCUGCUUUUUUUUUAAUUUUCCGAGUUGAAUCAUAAUUACAGGUAACCUGUUUUGCAUAGUUUCAAACACACACACAUAUCGCCAAACGCAUUCCAAUCGUGACCGGGAUAUUUUCUCUCUGCAUCGCUUCAUCUCUGCACUACACACA